GGGGCUGUAGCUCAGUUGGGAGAGCGCCUGAAUCGCACUCAGGAGGUCAGGAGUUCGAAUCUCCUCAGCUCCA
This 73-nucleotide transfer RNA is filed under the name Candidatus Zixiibacteriota bacterium. RNAcentral's name for it is "candidate division Zixibacteria bacterium tRNA-Ala". It matches the Rfam family "tRNA". Rfam says of the family: Transfer RNA (tRNA) molecules are approximately 80 nucleotides in length. Their secondary structure includes four short double-helical elements and three loops (D, anti-codon, and T loops). Further hydrogen bonds mediate the characteristic L-shaped molecular structure. tRNAs have two regions of fundamental functional importance: the anti-codon, which is responsible for specific mRNA codon recognition, and the 3' end, to which the tRNAs corresponding amino acid is attached (by aminoacyl-tRNA synthetases). tRNAs cope with the degeneracy of the genetic code in two manners: having more than one tRNA (with a specific anti-codon) for a particular amino acid; and 'wobble' base-pairing, i.e. permitting non-standard base-pairing at the 3rd anti-codon position. The record is from RNAcentral. Lineage: Bacteria; Pseudomonadati; Candidatus Zixiibacteriota. RNAcentral also lists the same sequence under 1 other name.